GACGAACGCUGGCGGCGUGCUUAACACAUGCAAGUCGAACGGAAAGGCCCUGCUUUUGUGGGGUGCUCGAGUGGCGAACGGGUGAGUAACACGUGAGUAACCUGCCCUUGACUUUGGGAUAACUUCAGGAAACUGGGGCUAAUACCGGAUAGGAGCUCCUGCUGCAUGGUGGGGGUUGGAAAGUUUCGGCGGUUGGGGAUGGACUCGCGGCUUAUCAGCUUGUUGGUGGGGUAGUGGCUUACCAAGGCUUUGACGGGUGGCCGGCCUGAGAGGGUGACCGGCACCAUUGGACCUGGGAUCCGCCCAGGACCCUUCGGGGGGCCAGAGUUGGGGAUUAUGCACCAAUGGGCGGAACCUUGAGCAACAACCCCCGCUUGCGGGAUACCGGCCUUCGGGUUGUAACCCGCUUUGGCUUGUACCGAGGCGUGGUUGCCGGUAUUGGGUAAGGAAGCCCCGCCUACUUCCUG
RNAcentral lists this ribosomal RNA (467 nucleotides) under uncultured bacterium. RNAcentral describes it as "partial 16S ribosomal RNA". It matches the Rfam family "Bacterial small subunit ribosomal RNA", at positions 28 to 507 of the family's 1533-position model. The record is from RNAcentral.